This 651-nucleotide long non-coding RNA is filed under the name Malus domestica (apple). RNAcentral's name for it is "long non-coding RNA (MDOM_LNC011425)". The record is from RNAcentral. Lineage: Eukaryota; Viridiplantae; Streptophyta; Magnoliopsida; Rosales; Rosaceae.
UGAGUGAUGUUCGCGGCGAGGCGAUUGCUCAGCUGGCGGCGUUGCUCUCUAAUGAAGGUAAGGGAGUCCCUUUUAUAGAAUAAGGGCUCACUCCUCAGUACAUGAAUAAUGAGUGCUCUCUAAUGAAAGUGAGGGAGUCCCUUUUAUAGAAUAAGGGCUCGCUCCUCAAUACAUAAAUAAUGGGCUAAGUCCCCCAAGUAUUUUUCAUGAGGCCCAAUUGAGGCCCAAUAUAUGGUACAUAAUGUAGUCCCCCAAGUCUUCGGUCAAUAGAGUCUGUUAGCUGGAGACUUCAAAUUGAAUCCAUGUAUGGGCCAAAGUGGCGGUUGUUCGGAGACGGUAUUUGUAUACCCUGCACUGAAGCUUUGUAGGUGAAGCUUUGCAAGUGAAACUUUGAAGCUAGAGUUCUGUAAAUGAAGUUUUCGAAGCUGGAGCUUUUGUAAAUGAAGCUUUUGAAGCUGAUUGACAUAAGUGAUGCUCAUGAAUGUUUAUGUUGAUUGACAUGAGUGAUGCUCAUGAAUGUUAUGUAUGAUUGUCAUGAGUGAUGCUCAUGAAUGUUUAUGUAUGAAUGACAUGAGUAAUGCUCAUGUAUAAUUUGAAGUACUAGGCGUACUUUUGAUCACCUGGUUAGUGGCAUGAAGAAGAGUACGGAUU